UGAUGUGGUAAUGUCACCGUGAUAUGU
RNAcentral lists this small RNA (27 nucleotides) under Bombyx mori (domestic silkworm). RNAcentral describes it as "piRNA piR-bmo-1626377". Lineage: Eukaryota; Metazoa; Arthropoda; Insecta; Lepidoptera; Bombycidae. The record is from RNAcentral.